UUUAAAUGGCCGCAGUAUCUUAACUGUGCAAAGGUAGCAUAAUCAUUAGUCUUUUAAUUGAAGGCUGGUAUGAAUGGUUGGACGAGAUAUUAACUGUUUCAUGAAAAUUUAUAUUAGAAUUUUAUUUUUUAGUCAAAAAGCUAAAAUUUAUUUAAAAGACGAGAAGACCCUAUAAAUCUUUAUAUUUAGAUUAUUGGUUUUUAGAGGUAUUUUUUUAUUUCAAUAGUUGAUAAUAUUUUAUUGGGGUGAUAUUAAAAUUUAAUAAACUUUUAAUUAUUAAAGUCAUUAAUUAAUGAGUAAUUGAUCCGUUAAUAACGAUUAAAAAAUUAAGUUACUUUAGGGAUAACAGCGUAAUUUUUUUGGAGAGUUCAUAUCGA
RNAcentral lists this ribosomal RNA (377 nucleotides) under Metopomyia atropunctipes. RNAcentral's name for it is "partial 16S ribosomal RNA". Lineage: Eukaryota; Metazoa; Arthropoda; Insecta; Diptera; Muscidae. The record is from RNAcentral.